Molecule: long non-coding RNA, 489 nt
Organism: Nerophis lumbriciformis (worm pipefish)
Lineage: Eukaryota; Metazoa; Chordata; Actinopteri; Syngnathiformes; Syngnathidae
Source: RefSeq, a predicted model, not a curated record
CAUCCUUGGACAGGACGAAUGUCACCACAUCCCGGGCCUCACCUGAAAGACCGAGGAACAAUCAGACGCAGGUCUGACCGAGGCCGGAAUGUGCAACGCAGGAAACGCAUCUACGUCGGAGCGUCGGCACGGCGUUGUCAGAUGAAGAAGUUGAACAUCAAAGUUGACCAACUUCUCGGUGUAUGUCCACAACCUUCUACUGUCCAGAUGGCAGCCUGAUGACGCAUUUUGAAGUGAGAGUGACACAAACACUACACACAGGUGUGACUCCACCAAGGGCCACAUACUGAAAAGUUGAAGUAUGUGGGAACCAUUUUGAUAAAGACAAAACUUUGUUUUAUAGGUGACAUAGUAUAUUAUUAUGAUUACUUAGUAUCAAAACUUUUUUUUUUCACAUUAAGCUAAAUUGCUUGCUGUUGGUAUUUCUAACAAAAUGUUGUGAGCCUGUUUUUGUAAGAAUAUACCGGUAAUAAUGAUAGUAAUAAUAAU